RNAcentral lists this unclassified non-coding RNA (342 nucleotides) under soil metagenome. Its description in RNAcentral is "partial contains 5.8S ribosomal RNA, internal transcribed spacer 2, and large subunit ribosomal RNA". The stretch from base 1 to 120 matches the Rfam family "5.8S ribosomal RNA", at positions 35 to 154 of the family's 154-position model. The record is from RNAcentral.
GAUGAAGAACGUAGCAAAAUGCGAUAAGUAAUGUGAAUUGCAGAAUUCAGUGAAUCAUCGAAUCUUUGAACGCACAUUGCGCCCGCCAGUAUUCUGGCGGGCAUGCCUGUUCGAGCGUCAUUUCAACCCUCAAGCCCCCGGGUUUGGUGUUGGGGAUCGGACUGUACUCCAGCCCGGCCCCGAAAUCUAGUGGCGGUCUCGCUGCAGCCUCCAUUGCGUAGUAGCUAACACCUCGCAACUGGAACGCGGCGCGGCCAAGCCGUUAAACCCCCAACUUCUGAAUGUUGACCUCGGAUCAGGUAGGAAUACCCGCUGAACUUAAGCAUAUCAAUAAGCGGAGGA